UUCAUGCUAUGCCUCGGUUACUUCAAUAGGAGUUGUUCCAUGGUUGGUUUCAGAUCUGACAGCAAAGAGACGUUGCAAUGGAUGAGUUUGGUUGUGGCAGCGGAAGAAGGUGAUUUAUAAUGGUUAAAUGGAAGGGAUGAGGCUUUGUAUGGUGUGGCUACAACUCAGACGGCCCUCACACAUGGAAGGAAGUUGUAGGGAGGAAACAAAGCACCGAAGGACUCUUGGAAAGGAGAAUGACAAUGCAUUUGAGCAUAGUUUUCUUACUAUCAUCCAAAAGUNUUCAUACAAGCUAGGCUAAGAGAAUUUAUAGUUGAUUCUCUCGGCCUCCACCAAAGGAAAACUCAGAUCCAUUAUUUCAUCAUGUGUAAAAUAUGCUAUGCUUCUAGAAAGCUUUCUAAAGCACGUGAAAAAAUGAGUUUUACAUGUGGGGAAAUUCAAUUACUAAUGCUGCCCCAUGGAAAGCUAAGCACACCCCCCCUAUGUGUAGAAAUGGCCUUUUUACCCUUCUCCAUGUCUUGGUAGAUUUGCAACAUCUUCUUGUUCCCCAAUUUUCCAUCCAAAAAUAGCAAAUAGUAUUUGACCUUGGGGAGAAUACUCAUCUUGGAUCUUUUUGGCCAUCCCUCUUGUUAUGGGUCCUAUGGUGCUAGGCCUUCUUGUAUCAAUUGUUUUGCAGCAUUUUUUGAUGAAACUGAAGAAUGGGAUUGAAGAUGGAAGGUAUUAGACUCAAGAAAGAAGAAGAAACAUGAAGAAAAGAAGACUCUAGAAACUGCCCAGCGCCAAAAAUCACCGCUGGGCGGCCA
This 803-nucleotide long non-coding RNA is filed under the name Vigna radiata. RNAcentral's name for it is "long non-coding RNA (VRAD_LNC017063)". Lineage: Eukaryota; Viridiplantae; Streptophyta; Magnoliopsida; Fabales; Fabaceae. The record is from RNAcentral.